Molecule: ribosomal RNA, 467 nt
Filed under: uncultured bacterium
Lineage: Bacteria
Description: partial 16S ribosomal RNA
Rfam family: Bacterial small subunit ribosomal RNA
Source: RNAcentral
GACGAACGCUGGCGGCGUGCUUAACACAUGCAAGUCGAACGGAAAGGCCCUGCUUUUGUGGGGUGCUCGAGUGGCGAACGGGUGAGUAACACGUGAGUAACCUGCCCUUGACUUUGGGAUAACUUCAGGAAACUGGGGCUAAUACCGGAUAGGAGCUCCUGCUGCAUGGUGGGGGUUGGAAAGUUUCGGCGGUUGGGGAUGGACUCGCGGCUUAUCAGCUUGUUGGUGGGGUAGUGGCUUACCAAGGCUUUGACGGGUAGCCGGCCUGAGAGGGUGACCGGCCAAAUGGGGGAGGAGUGACGGCCCAGACCCAUCGGGGGGGGACGAGGGGGUAAUAUUGCAAAAGGGGGGGAGGCAGAAGGCAGCAACGCCGCGGGGGGGAGGAGGGCUUUCGGGUAGAAAACCGCUUUCGCCUGGGACGAAGCGGGAGUGAGGGGAAUGGGUAAAGAAGCACCGGCAAAUUACGG